This 1219-nucleotide ribosomal RNA is filed under the name metagenome. RNAcentral describes it as "bacterial SSU rRNA". It matches the Rfam family "Bacterial small subunit ribosomal RNA", at positions 265 to 1498 of the family's 1533-position model. The record is from RNAcentral.
UUACCAAGGCUACGAUGGGUAGGGGUCCUGAGAGGGAGAUCCCCCACACUGGUACUGAGACACGGACCAGACUCCUACGGGAGGCAGCAGUGAGGAAUAUUGGACAAUGGGCGCAAGCCUGAUCCAGCCUUGCCGCGUGCAGGAUGACGGUCCUAUGGAUUGCAAACUGCUUUUAUACGAGAAGAAACACUCCAACGUGUUGGAGCUUGACGGUAUCGUAAGAAUAAGGAUCGGCUAACUCCGUGCCAGCAGCCGCGGUAAUACGGAGGAUCCAAGCGUUAUCCGGAAUCAUUGGGUUUAAAGGGUCCGUAGGCGGUUUAAUAAGUCAGUGGUGAAAGCCCAUCGCUCAACGGUGGAACGGCCAUUGAUACUGUUAAACUUGAAUUAUUAGGAAGUAACUAGAAUAUGUAGUGUAGCGGUGAAAUGCUUAGAGAUUACAUGGAAUACCAAUUGCGAAGGCAGGUUACUACUAAUUGAUUGACGCUGAUGGACGAAAGCGUGGGUAGCGAACAGGAUUAGAUACCCUGGUAGUCCACGCCGUAAACGAUGGAUACUAGCUGUUGGGAGCAAUCUCAGUGGCUAAGCGAAAGUGAUAAGUAUCCCACCUGGGGAGUACGUUCGCAAGAAUGAAACUCAAAGGAAUUGACGGGGGCCCGCACAAGCGGUGGAGCAUGUGGUUUAAUUCGAUGAUACGCGAGGAACCUUACCAAGGCUUAAAUGUAGAUUGACCGAUUUGGAAACAGAUCUUUCGCAAGACAAUUUACAAGGUGCUGCAUGGUUGUCGUCAGCUCGUGCCGUGAGGUGUCAGGUUAAGUCCUAUAACGAGCGCAACCCCUGUUGUUAGUUGCCAGCGAGUCAAGUCGGGAACUCUAACAAGACUGCCAGUGCAAACUGUGAGGAAGGUGGGGAUGACGUCAAAUCAUCACGGCCCUUACGCCUUGGGCUACACACGUGCUACAAUGGCCGGUACAGAGAGCAGCCACUGGGCGACCAGGAGCGAAUCUAUAAAACCGGUCACAGUUCGGAUCGGAGUCUGCGACUCGACUCCGUGAAGCUGGAAUCGCUAGUAAUCGGAUAUCAGCCAUGAUCCGGUGAAUACGUUCCCGGGCCUUGUACACACCGCCCGUCAAGCCAUGGAAGCUGGGGGUGCCUGAAGUCGGUGACCGCAAGGAGCUGCCUAGGGUAAAACUGGUAACUAGGGCUAAGUCGUAACAAGGUA